Long non-coding RNA from Pundamilia nyererei, 366 nucleotides. RefSeq lists it as uncharacterized. The record is from RefSeq and is a predicted model, not a curated record. Lineage: Eukaryota; Metazoa; Chordata; Actinopteri; Cichliformes; Cichlidae. The transcript has 3 exons.
ACUGGAAGCUUUUUCUAACAAGCAGGUUUCUCAGGUUGCUUGUGGGAGUCAGCACUCAGUUGCACUGACCAAAGAUGGUCAGCUGUAUACGUGGGGUCAGGACUGCAGGGGCCAGCUGGGUCUGGGUACGAGAAAGUCUGUCUGCAGAUCACCUCAACAUGUGCCAUCACUGUCAGCGAUCCCCCUGAUCCAGGUCGCUGCAGGAGGAGACCAGAGUUUCGCCCUCUCUGUCUCUGGAGGUGUUUUCAGCUGGGGGAGAAAUGACUGUGGACAGCUCGGGCUGGGAGACACAAAAGACAGACACACACCAGCUCCUGUUCAGUGUUUGAAUAUGAAGAAAGCUCAGCGCAUUUCCUGUGGACAGGA